GAUGAACGCUAGCGGCAGGCUUAACACAUGCAAGUCGAGGGGUAUAGUUCUUCGGAACUAGAGACCGGCGCACGGGUGCGUAACGCGUAUGCAAUCUACCUUUUACAGGGGAAUAGCCCAGAGAAAUUUGGAUUAAUGCCCCAUAGUAUAGUUUAUUCGCAUGAGUAGAUUAUUAAGGUUCCAACGGUAAAAGAUGAGCAUGCGUCCCAUUAGCUAGAUGGUAAGGUAACGGCUUACCAUGGCGACGAUGGGUAGGGGUCCUGAGAGGGAGAUCCCCCACACUGGUACUGAGACACGGACCAGACUCCUACGGGAGGCAGCAGUGAGGAAUAUUGGUCAAUGGACGCAAGUCUGAACCAGCCAUGCCGCGUGCAGGAUGACGGUCCUAUGGAUUGUAAACUGCUUUUGUACGAGAAGAAACACUGCUACGUGUAGCAGCUUGACGGUAUCGUAAGAAUAAGGAUCGGCUAACUCCGUGUCAGCCGCCGCAGUAA
This 494-nucleotide ribosomal RNA is filed under the name uncultured bacterium. Its description in RNAcentral is "partial 16S ribosomal RNA". It matches the Rfam family "Bacterial small subunit ribosomal RNA", at positions 28 to 523 of the family's 1533-position model. The record is from RNAcentral.